GGGCUCAACCUGGGAACUGCAAUCGAAACUGGCAGGCUAGAGUCUUGUAGAGGGGGGUUGAAUUCCAGGUGUUGCGGUGAAAUGCGAAGAGAUCUGGUGGAAUAACGGUUGCGAAGGCGGCACCCUGGACAAAGACUGACGCUCAGGUGCGAAAGCGUGGGGAGCAAACAGGAUUAGAUUCCCUGGUAGUCCACGCCGUAAACGAUGUCGAUUUGGAGGUUGUGCCCUUGAGGCGUGGCUUCCGGAGCUAACGCGUUAUAUCGACCGCCUGGGGAGUACGGCCGCAAGGUUAAAACUCAAAUG
RNAcentral lists this ribosomal RNA (303 nucleotides) under Klebsiella pneumoniae. Its description in RNAcentral is "bacterial SSU rRNA". It matches the Rfam family "Bacterial small subunit ribosomal RNA", at positions 605 to 907 of the family's 1533-position model. The record is from RNAcentral. Lineage: Bacteria; Pseudomonadati; Pseudomonadota; Gammaproteobacteria; Enterobacterales; Enterobacteriaceae.